UACGUAGGGUGCGAGCGUUAAUCGGAAUUACUGGGCGUAAAGCGCGUGUAGGCGGCUAAGUAAGUCGGGCGUGAAAUCCCACGGCUCAACCGUGGAAGUGCACUCGAAACUGCAUAGCUAGAGUCCUGGAGAGGAAGGUGGAAUGCUUGGUGUAGAGGUGAAAUUCGUAGAUAUCAAGCGGAACACCGGUGGCGAAGGCGGCCUUCUGGACAGUGACUGACGCUGAGACGCGAAAGCGUGGGGAGCAAACAGG
RNAcentral lists this ribosomal RNA (253 nucleotides) under uncultured bacterium. RNAcentral describes it as "partial 16S ribosomal RNA". It matches the Rfam family "Bacterial small subunit ribosomal RNA", at positions 524 to 776 of the family's 1533-position model. The record is from RNAcentral.